Long non-coding RNA from Lytechinus variegatus (green sea urchin), 592 nucleotides. RefSeq lists it as uncharacterized. The transcript has 2 exons. NCBI's taxonomy places the organism in Eukaryota, Metazoa, Echinodermata, Echinoidea, Temnopleuroida, Toxopneustidae. The record is from RefSeq and is a predicted model, not a curated record.
CUAGUCAUCUUCUUCGACCUCUAGUCUCGUUUCAGCCAUCACUUGAAGAAAAUAGCCAAGUCACGAGGCCUUGUCAAAAGGCUAGACCCGAUACUGCUCCUGAUUGGUGUAAAUAUUCAUGUCUGAAUGGGACGCACCUUAAAACAUAGAUAACAACGUCAACAACAACAACAACCUGAACCCGAGGAUGGUCAUUCCUUUGUCUUUAAUCAGAGGGCGUCAUAUAUAAAAGGCGCCGAUUUAGAUUGGAUUAACAUCAUUUCAACACGGACGACGCAGACGACCAUUCGACAAACUCGAAAUGUUGGAGUGAAUUUCUAGAAUUGCGCAGGAUCGUCUCAGCCUGAACCUUCGAGGCAGUAGAGAGCACUUUCAAAAGAUCUCUUGGAAAAGAAAAUCACAAGGUUUCAUCAAACUCCUCGAUCACAAGAACGUUUUGCAGGUACGUUCCUUCAGCCUAUGAACGUACGCAUAAAUAUUUUCUGAAGGGCAAGGCGUAUAAUAACUUUCGAAAAAGAACUCAAAAGCGAGGGAGCGAAGCAACCGUGCUUGCCACGGGGGUACUAUUGCACAUUCAAAAGCGAAUUGAAAA